This 334-nucleotide unclassified non-coding RNA is filed under the name soil metagenome. Its description in RNAcentral is "partial contains 5.8S ribosomal RNA, internal transcribed spacer 2, and large subunit ribosomal RNA". The stretch from base 1 to 120 matches the Rfam family "5.8S ribosomal RNA", at positions 35 to 154 of the family's 154-position model. The record is from RNAcentral.
GAUGAAGAACGUAGUGAAAUGCGAUAAGUAAUGUGAAUUGCAGAAUUCAGUGAAUCAUCGAAUCUUUGAACGCACAUUGCGCCCGCCAGUAUUCUGGCGGGCAUGCCUGUUCGAGCGUCAUUUCAACCAUCAAGCCCUGCUUGCGUUGGGGUCCUGCGGCUGCCCGCAGGCCCUGAAAACCAGUGGCGGGCUCGCUAGUCACACCGAGCGCAGUAAUACAUCUCGCUUUGGGCGUGCGGCGGGUUCUUGCCGUUAAACACCCCCUUUUUACCAAGGUUGACCUCGGAUCAGGUAGGAAUACCCGCUAAACUUAAGCAUAUCAAUAAGCGGAGGA